UUCUUUAUUAUGAUUUAUUUACCUAAAUGGAUUUUCUUUGGUUUUUGUUUUGAUUUGGGUUUGGAUUUGUUUAGUUAUCUACAAUUGGUGGUUGUUUUGUUUGAUUUCUAAAAUUGGCCGAUCUGAUUUUCCUUCGGUAAUUUUUUCAUGGCUUCUAUGUCACACGGUGAAAGAAAGGGAAAGAGGAGAAGUCAGAAGUGGCAGUCUGGCAAUUCAUCAACUCCUCUCUCUCCCUCAGUCCCUCUCAAGUCUCAAGUCUCAAUCGUUCUCUCUCACUCUCAUAGACAGUAGACGCUUCGGAGAUCUGAUAAGUGAUAUUAGGGCAGAAAAUAGGUCGUUAGAUUUACAGCUUGGAUUGGGAGCUUGGAUUUUUACCGGAAACACUGAGGAAUACCCAAGUUGCGACCUGGAAACUGAGGAACGACUAGGAGCACAUCCCUCCUCUGCAGCCUUCUGGGAACCAUCAUCCUUAAAAGAAGUGGAGGCUUCACCUCAGGCGGGGAAAGAGUAACACAACUAGGCCCAAAAAAGCCCCGUCGAAUCAACCCAUAGGCCUGAGAAGGGUUCCGAACAGGCAAGGCAACAUCAACCUUCGGAGCCGGAGCCUCCCCAGCAGAGCCCAGAGAGACAGAGUCGAUCGCCAGAGAGGCCGAAGCCUCCACCGGAGAGAUAGAGGCGACGACCUCCGUCGAGGAAGCAAAAACCCCCACCGAAGUAACAAGAGAACUUACCGAAAGCACCCCCAGCCAGACCACGGAACCACGUUCCCCAACGCAGGGGCAACAACAUCACCGAACACCACAAAGGUCCUAUCGGAGACCCCAGUGGAGGAGACUCUGGAACUACAACAGGCGAGAUCUUCGAAGACACCGGCGCAGCCUCCAACUCAACCUCGGACACCAGCGGACCCACGCUCCCUCUCGUAGGGCCAAAAACUUCACUGGGCACCACUGAAAAACCACCGGAGACCCCCUCCAGGGCCAAAACCGAAUCAGACUCCAAAAAAGAACACUUUGAGGAGAAGCCCAAGCCCGGAUCCGAACCCUAAUCGAAAUCCAGAUAGAAAUCCAGAUCCAUAUCAAGAUCCGAAACUGGAUCCGAAAUAGGAUCCAUACCCGAAUCAAACUCGAAUCCAUACCCGGAUCAGGAAAAUAACCCAACCCAGCCUCGCAGACAUACCUGAAAUCACGUCCAAAAGGCUUAGAGUCUAAUCCAGCAAGGACCCGGAGACCACUGCAGAUGGGUCUGCGAAUUUGAUGAUCUGGCAGUGUAUUAUUCCUGGCAAGCCUGGGGUGAGUCCCUUUAUUUAUUUUUUUCUUGAUGCUAUUGUGCAAGUUGGGAAUUUUACAAGUUUAACGAAUACCAUUAAUGCAAAUUGUAGAGAAAGGAUUGUGAAAUUUCUUUAUUUUCUGGGUGAGAAUGUCUGAAAGUUUUGCGC
Corylus avellana is the source of this 1438-nucleotide long non-coding RNA. RefSeq lists it as uncharacterized. NCBI's taxonomy places the organism in Eukaryota, Viridiplantae, Streptophyta, Magnoliopsida, Fagales, Betulaceae. The record is from RefSeq and is a predicted model, not a curated record.